GGCGGACGGGUGAGUAACGCGUGGGAACGUGCCCUUUGCUACGGAAUAGUCCCGGGAAACUGGGUUUAAUACCGUAUGUGCCCUUCGGGGGAAAGAUUUAUCGGCAAAGGAUCGGCCCGCGUUGGAUUAGGUAGUUGGUGGGGUAAUGGCCUACCAAGCCGACGAUCCAUAGCUGGUUUGAGAGGAUGAUCAGCCACACUGGGACUGAGACACGGCCCAGACUCCUACGGGAGGCAGCAGUGGGGAAUCUUAGACAAUGGGGGCAACCCUGAUCUAGCCAUGCCGCGUGAGUGAUGAAGGCCUUAGGGUUGUAAAGCUCUUUCAGCUGGGAAGAUAAUGACGGUACCAGCAGAAGAAGCCCCGGCUAACUCCGUGCCAGCAGCCGCGGUAAUACGGAGGGGGCUAGCGUUGUUCGGAAUUACUGGGCGUAAAGCGCACGUAGGCGGACUGGAAAGUUGGGGGUGAAAUCCCGGGGCUCAACCUCGGAACUGCCUUCAAAACUAUCAGUCUGGAGUUCGAGAGAGGUGAGUGGAAUACCGAGUGUAGAGGUGAAAUUCGUAGAUAUUCGGUGGAACACCAGUGGCGAAGGCGGCUCACUGGCUCGAUACUGACGCUGAGGUGCGAAAGCGUGUGGAGCAAACAGGAUUAGAUACCCUGGU
This 659-nucleotide ribosomal RNA is filed under the name Paracoccus homiensis. Its description in RNAcentral is "bacterial SSU rRNA". It matches the Rfam family "Bacterial small subunit ribosomal RNA", at positions 97 to 791 of the family's 1533-position model. The record is from RNAcentral. Lineage: Bacteria; Pseudomonadati; Pseudomonadota; Alphaproteobacteria; Rhodobacterales; Paracoccaceae.